RNAcentral lists this ribosomal RNA (402 nucleotides) under uncultured bacterium. RNAcentral's name for it is "bacterial SSU rRNA". It matches the Rfam family "Bacterial small subunit ribosomal RNA", at positions 29 to 410 of the family's 1533-position model. The record is from RNAcentral.
AAUCAACGCUGGCGGCGUGCCUAACACAUGCAAGUCGAACGCGAAAGCGUCUUCGGACGUGAGUAGAGUGGCGUCCGGGUGAGUAACACGUAGGUAAUCUACCUUCGGGUGGGGAAUAACGCCUCGAAAGAGGCGCUAAUACCGCAUAACGCAGCGGCAGCUAAUGCUGAUUAGUUGUUAAAGCGGGGGACCGAGAGAUCGGCCUCGCGCCUGAAGAGGAGCCUGCGGCAGAUUAGCUAGUUGGCGGGGUAACGGCCCACCAAGGCGACGAUCUGUAGCUGGUCUGAGAGGACGGCCAGCCACACUGGCACUGACACACGGGCCAGACUCCUACGGGAGGCAGCAGUGGGGAAUUUUGGGCAAUGGGCGAAAGCCUGACCCAGCAACGCCGCGUGAGGGAGG